Molecule: unclassified non-coding RNA, 276 nt
Filed under: Ascomycota sp.
Lineage: Eukaryota; Fungi; Ascomycota
Description: partial contains small subunit ribosomal RNA, internal transcribed spacer 1, and 5.8S ribosomal RNA
Rfam family: Eukaryotic small subunit ribosomal RNA (bases 1-47)
Source: RNAcentral
AAAGUCGUAACAAGGUUUCCGUAGGUGAACCUGCGGAAGGAUCAUUACCUUUGGCUGCCGUGAGCGCUUCGGCGUGAGCGACGGUCAUUCUAGCGACGCCUCUGCGUCCGGGAAACCGGCGCGGGGCCGACCUAACCCUUCUCUACGAGUACCUAUUAUUCUCCUUCGGCGGGGUCUACCCGCCGCUGGAACUUCAAGAACCAACUUGCAUUUAGCAUUACCUGUUCUGAUAACAAUCAAUUAUUACAACUUUCAACAAUGGAUCUCUUGGCUCUG